UGGCAUGUUACCCUGGGAGACCGGGGGAUCCUCUUCGGAGGCGUGCACACAGGUGCUGCAUGGCUGUCGUCAGCUCGUGUCGUGAGAUGUUGGGUUAAGUCCCGCAACGAGCGCAACCCACGUCCUUAGUUGCCAUCAUUCAGUUGGGCACUCUAGGGAGACUGCCGGUGAUAAGCCGCGAGGAAGGUGUGGAUGACGUCAAGUCCUCAUGGCCCUUACGGGAUGGGCUACACACGUGCUACAAUGGCGGUGACAGAGGGACGCGAAACCGCGAGGUUGAGCAAAUCCCGAAAAGCCGUCUCAGUUCGGAUUGCACUCUGCAACUCGGGUGCAUGAAGGCGGAAUCGCUAGUAAUCGUGGAUCAGCACGCCACGGUGAAUACGUUCCCGGGCCUUGUACACACCGCCCGUCACACCAUGGGAGUUGGUCUUACCCGACGGCGCUGCGCCAACCGCAAGGAGGCAGGCGACCACGGUAGGGUCAGCGACUGGGGUGAAGUCGUAACAAGGUAAGCGUAGUGCU
Molecule: ribosomal RNA, 522 nt
Filed under: uncultured bacterium
Lineage: Bacteria
Description: bacterial SSU rRNA
Rfam family: Bacterial small subunit ribosomal RNA
Source: RNAcentral